This 571-nucleotide long non-coding RNA is filed under the name Phoenix dactylifera (date palm). RNAcentral's name for it is "long non-coding RNA (PDAC_LNC013643)". The record is from RNAcentral. Lineage: Eukaryota; Viridiplantae; Streptophyta; Magnoliopsida; Arecales; Arecaceae.
GGUGAGUCAUUGUUCAGUGAUGAUGUACUCCUACAUCUCACCUGUAUGCCAUACAGUGUCUCCACACUUCUUGGUUUAAGAGGACAACCAACUAAAUGACACACAACGACCUAUACUUGACAUAGCUAUUGUCCAAUUGACAGCUCAUCAUUUGGUCGCGAACUGGUUUAAGGACUAAAUGAUAAAACCUCUUUUAUCCACUAAAUUAGUCCUAAGGACUUCAUCACAAUACACAGGAGUUCAAUUUGAAGAUAUAACACUUGUGAUGAAUAGAAAAUUGCCAGAAUAAAUUUUUAUUCAUUUUAAUAAAAUAUAUAUAUAAUCUAAUUUCUUACAAUUAAAAAUUGGCUUUGGGACACAAUUCCCAACAGAAGAAAGAGAAGAAAACGGUAGCAACAACAAGGAAGCAAGACCUCCUUAGGGCUAAGUCGGGAGGUUUACAUAGACCCUCCCGACGGCCCAGAUCGGCGAAGCUAAAACUCGACUCCCGCCUAGAUCUCGCCACGUGUCGGCCCCAAAAUCCGAAGUGACACAUCUAACCUGGACCGACGCUUCGAAUACGAAAACGAAA